GGUGUGCCCUAGACCUGGCUAUUAUAGUGUUUUCAAUACUACUGGUUGAAUCUCUCUUUUUUUAAAUUUUUUAUUUAUUUUAGUUAUUUUAAAUAUAUGUGAGAUUUUGGACUCCCCUGGAGUUACAGGCAGUUGUGAGCCACCUAAUCUGGGUGCUAGAACCGGAACUUGAGUCUUCUAGAAAAACAGCAAACAUGUUCCCCAACUGCCAAGCCACUAACCAAGUCUCUCCCCCAUCCCCCUACCCCCCCCCCCUCUUUUUUUUUGAAAUAGGAUUUCAGUCUGUAGCCCCAGUUGGCCUGGAACUCACCAUGUGGCUAUGCUGGCCUUGUACUGAUUCUGCUGCCUCUGCCUCUCCACUGCUAGGAUUAUAUGCCUGUGCCACCUCAGCUGGGUCUCCAUGCCAGAGUAUUUUGUGGCAGGGCAAAUGAACAGAUUACAGCUAAUGGAGAACAGUGUGGCUAUGUCUUAGGGUUAUGGUCAUGCACAACAAUUAAGGACAGCUCAAGUCUGAGGAUGUAGCUUAGUUGAUGUGUGCGUAGCCUGCAUCAGUCACGCUCUGCGGCCAAUCCUCGGCACCCCGUAAGCCUGGUAUGGUGGCUCAUGCCUAUAACCCUAGCACUCAAGAGGUAGAAGCCAGACGUUCAAGGUCACCCUCAGGAAUGUAACUGAGUUUGAGGCCAGCCUGGGCUACAUGAGACACCAUCUCAAAAAAGCAACACAAUACAACAAAACGAAAAGAGACACCCAGAGAAGAACCUUACAGUAAGGCUCACAAGUCAGCGAUGUCUCCCAGCAUGCCAAGCUCAGGUGAAGGGGAGGAGGCCGUCCAGACAAGAGUCAUGCAAGGCAUGUGUGUGGACCCUGCUGAGAAUGGGCUUCAGUCUCAGGUCAGCCCACAAGGCUGUGUGGCCUGAUUCCAUUCAGUAGCCUCGGGAGACUGUUCUCCUAGGGGAGGUGUGCUGAUUAGUGCUUAGCACAGGCCUGCCUUUUGAGAAGUAGGGCCAGUGUCAGAGAGCUCAUAAACUAGGACUACAUACCAACCCAAAGUAGGACCCCGCAAGGCAGAGUGACACUGGGUGACAGGCCAGAGCAAGAUCUGAGGACAUUCUCCCAGGGUCCCCCGAAGCCUUUGUAUGCCUCUGCUGCCUGCCCAUCUGCCUGUUCCCAGCAUCCCCACAGGUGGGUCAACACUCAACUUCCUCACCUGCUGUGCAAGGCAUGUGGAGGCCGGAGAACAGCCUCACUUAGGUCUCCAUCUGUUCUUUGAGACAGAACCUCUCUCUGGCCCAGAACUGGACUCAGACUGGGCCGACUGGCCAUGGAGCCCCAGGGAUCCAGCUGUUGCUGCUUCCCCAUGGCUGGGAUUACAGUUGUGCCCCUCCUAACUUUUGUGGGUUCUGGUGGUAAAACGGGAGUCCUCAUGCUUGUGUGGGAAGCCCUUUUCUAAUGGAGUUGUCUCCUUGGCCCCUUGGUUUUGAGGAUAGAACGCCGUGUAGCCCAGACUGGCCUCAAACUCCCUAUGUAGCUGAGGGUACCCUUGAACUCUGCCUCUCGAGUUCAGGUGUGUACCAUCUCGGGUCUUAAUGGCGGACUAUUACAUGACAGGAAACACUGCCACCAUGUUAUUGCAGCAGUCAAUGCUGAAAUGGCACGGAAGUAUACUACACCCUGUGUACCAUGCAUGUACUUUCUGCCUCUACCUCCCAGUUGCUGGGACUACAGGUGUGCACCACCACAUCUGUGUCAGAGAUGGAGCCUCCAGUUUAUUUACUGCUGUCUAGAGUCCAGGACCCUCCUAAACGUACAGGGGACACAGUCCUAGACACCCCCAGUGGAUGCCUGAAGCUCAGUUAGUUCCCAACCCUGUGUAGACUGUUUUCCCAGUGAGAACCUAUGGUGGGGUCAACCUCACAGGCUAGGCACAGAGUUCCCUGCUGCAGCAAGCGUAUGCCACUAGGAAGACUUGUGUUCCAGGCGUCUGCCCACAAGAUGAAUACCUUUCCACCUUUGUUCAAACUGUCAUCCUCCUGCCUCAGCCUACUCAUGCAGGGACUGCAAGCCUGCUCCACUUCACAGGGUGCUUCAGUCACCUUACCCAAGCAUUUGUCUCACACAGUGAGAGUAACUCUUUUUUUUUUCCCACAGCACUCUGGGCAUGCCGUGUUUUUGUUAUCUUUUUUUUUAAUUAGGUAUUUAUUUCAUUUACAUUUCUAAUGCUAUCCCAAAAGUCCCCCACACGCUCCCCCAUUCACUCUCCCACCCACCCACUCCCACUUCUUGGCCCUGGCGUUCCCCUGUACUGAGGCAGAUAAAGUUUGCACGACCAUUGGGCCUCUCUUUCCACUGAUGGCCGACUAGGCCAUCCUCUGCUACAUAUGCAGCUAGAGACACGAGCUCUGGGAAGUACUGGGUAGUUCAUAUUGUUGUUCCAGGGGAGUAACUCUUACAGUUUGUGGUAAAACUGGCACAGAUUUCCUCUUUCUUUGUCAUGAUUCCAUGCAUAGAUUGGUUCUCACUAAUAAUUUUUUUUAAAAAAGAUUUAUUUAUUUUAUGUAUGUGAGUACACUGUAGCUAUCUUCAGAUACCAGAAGAGGGCACCAGAUCUCACUAUAGAUGGUUGUGAGCUACCAUGUAGUUGCUGGGAAUUCAACUCAGGACCUCUGGAAGAGCAGUAGUGCUUUUAACCACUGAGCCAUCUCUCCAGCUCCCCUCACUAAGAAUCUUGACGGACUGUGGCAUUUUUUCUAUUCUCUUCAUUGAACCUGAGCACUUUACCUUCUCACCGAAAGACAGCACUCUGUGGGCUGUGAGGUGGCUCCUCAGUUAACGACCUUGCCACCCAGCCCGAUGGCCUGGAUUGGCUCUCUGGGACCCAGAGAGUGGAAAGAGGGAACUGAUAAUCCCCACAGGGUUAUCCCCUGUCAUCCACAUGUGCUCCACGACCUGUGACAGACAGAUAGAGACAGACUGCACACGCACGCAUGCACAUGCCCUCACAUGUGUGCACACACUUAAAAAAAAUGU
RNAcentral lists this long non-coding RNA (3027 nucleotides) under Mus musculus (house mouse). RNAcentral's name for it is "long non-coding RNA chr7:27245136-27248163". The record is from RNAcentral. Lineage: Eukaryota; Metazoa; Chordata; Mammalia; Rodentia; Muridae.